Molecule: long non-coding RNA, 217 nt
Filed under: Elaeis guineensis (African oil palm)
Lineage: Eukaryota; Viridiplantae; Streptophyta; Magnoliopsida; Arecales; Arecaceae
Description: long non-coding RNA (EGUI_LNC074488)
Source: RNAcentral
UAGGGAAGUCUGUUUGAGAUUUAUCUGAUGUGGAAGCUCAUUAGAAGAUCGUCCGUCGGGGAAGUCUGAUUUUAUAGGGAGCCUGGUAGGAGGUCGGUCGGUGAUGGACUUCGGAUAGCACUGGAGAGGCUCGACAGACAUCAGAGGCGAUCGGCUAUCGCGGGGACCCAGUUGCUGGAGCUCGUCCGUCAUAGAAGCUUGUCUGGAAUCCAUCUGC